Molecule: ribosomal RNA, 750 nt
Filed under: Bacillus sp. (in: firmicutes)
Lineage: Bacteria; Bacillati; Bacillota; Bacilli; Caryophanales; Bacillaceae
Description: bacterial SSU rRNA
Rfam family: Bacterial small subunit ribosomal RNA
Source: RNAcentral
UUUCUCAGCGGCGGACGGGUGAGUAACACGUGGGCAACCUGCCCUACAGACUGGGAUAACUCCGGGAAACCGGAGCUAAUACCGGGUAAUACAUAGCAUCGCAUGAUGCAACGUUGAAAGUUGGCCUUUGGCUAACACUGUAGGAUGGGCCCGCGGCGCAUUAGCUAGUUGGUAAGGUAACGGCUUACCAAGGCCACGAUGCGUAGCCGACCUGAGAGGGUGAUCGGCCACACUGGGACUGAGACACGGCCCAGACUCCUACGGGAGGCAGCAGUAGGGAAUCUUCCGCAAUGGACGAAAGUCUGACGGAGCAACGCCGCGUGAGUGACGAAGGCCUUCGGGUCGUAAAGCUCUGUUGUUAGGGAAGAACAAGUACCGUUCGAAUAGGGCGGUACCUUGACGGUACCUAACCAGAAAGCCACGGCUAACUACGUGCCAGCAGCCGCGGUAAUACGUAGGUGGCAAGCGUUGUCCGGAAUUAUUGGGCGUAAAGCGCGCGCAGGCGGUCUCUUAAGUCUGAUGUGAAAGCCCACGGCUCAACCGUGGAGGGCCAUUGGAAACUGGGGGACUUGAGUGCAGAAGAGGAGAGUGGAAUUCCACGUGUAGCGGUGAAAUGCGUAGAUAUGUGGAGGAACACCAGUGGCGAAGGCGGCUCUCUGGUCUGUAACUGACGCUGAGGCGCGAAAGCGUGGGGAGCGAACAGGAUUAGAUACCCUGGUAGUCCACGCCGUAAACGAUGAGUGCUAGGUG